This 234-nucleotide ribosomal RNA is filed under the name uncultured bacterium. RNAcentral describes it as "partial 16S ribosomal RNA". It matches the Rfam family "Bacterial small subunit ribosomal RNA", at positions 118 to 347 of the family's 1533-position model. The record is from RNAcentral.
UGAGGAACAUGACUUUCGGCGGGGGAUAGCCGGCCCAACGGCCGGGUAAUACCGCGUACGACCACAUGGGGACAUCCCUGAGUGGUGAAAGCAGCAAUGCGCCGAUGGAGUGCCUCGCGGCCUAUCAGCUAGUUGGUGGGGUAACGGCCUACCAAGGCGACGACGGGUAGCUGGUCUGAGAGGAUGGCCAGCCACAUUGGGACUGAGACACGGCCCAGACUCCUACGGGAGCAG